GUGGGGAAUCUUAGACAAUGGGCGCAAGCCUGAUCUAGCCAUGCCGCGUGAGCGAUGAAGGCCUUAGGGUUGUAAAGCUCUUUCGUGGGGGAAGAUAAUGACUGUACCCCAAGAAGAAGCCCCGGCUAACUCCGUGCCAGCAGCCGCGGUAAUACGGAGGGGGCUAGCGUUGUUCGGAAUUACUGGGCGUAAAGCGCACGUAGGCGGACUGGAAAGUCAGGGGUGAAAUCCCGGGGCUCAACCUCGGAACUGCCUCCAAAACUAUCAGUCUUGAGUUCGAGAGAGGUGAGUGGAAUUCCGAGUGUAGAGGUGAAAUUCGUAGAUAUUCGGAGGAACACCAGUGGCGAAGGCGGCUCACUGGCUCGAUACUGACGCUGAGGUGCGAAAGCGUGGGGAGCAAACAGGAUUAGAAACCCGGGUAGUCC
RNAcentral lists this ribosomal RNA (425 nucleotides) under uncultured bacterium. RNAcentral's name for it is "partial 16S ribosomal RNA". It matches the Rfam family "Bacterial small subunit ribosomal RNA", at positions 354 to 796 of the family's 1533-position model. The record is from RNAcentral.